Molecule: ribosomal RNA, 252 nt
Filed under: uncultured bacterium
Lineage: Bacteria
Description: partial 16S ribosomal RNA
Rfam family: Bacterial small subunit ribosomal RNA
Source: RNAcentral
ACGAAGGGUGCUAGCGUUGUUCGGAAUCACUGGGCGUAAAGGGUACGUAGGCGGUUUGGUAAGUCGAUUGUGAAAGCCCCGAGCUCAACUCGGGAACUGCAAUCGAAACUACUUUACUUGAGUUUGGUAGGGGAUGGCGGAAUUCCUAGUGUAGGGGUGAAAUCCGUAGAGAUUAGGAAGAACACCAGUGGCGAAGGCGGCCAUCUAUGCCAAUACUGACGCUGAGGUACGAAAGCGUGGGGAGCAAACAGG